Rhineura floridana is the source of this 1506-nucleotide long non-coding RNA. RefSeq lists it as uncharacterized. NCBI's taxonomy places the organism in Eukaryota, Metazoa, Chordata, Lepidosauria, Squamata, Rhineuridae. The record is from RefSeq and is a predicted model, not a curated record. The transcript has 2 exons.
GGUUUAGAAAACAGUAUAAAUAGUGCCCCCCAUCUCCCAAAGUUAUUCAUUGUUCCACUUGGGAUCCUUGUUGCUCUUAGCUUCAACAUCUCCAGAAGAUCAUUGUUCCACUUGAGUUCCUUGUUGCUCUUCGCUUCAACCUCUCCAGAAGAAAUGGGCAGUUGUGAAUCUUGCUGUGGCGGUGCCGAAGACAGCACCAUCAUUUGUGUGCCCAACUCGCGUUCCAAUGGCGGCUGCCAACCGUGUGGCGGCUGCCAACCGUGUUGCUGCUGCUCGCCGUGUUGCUGCUGCCAGCCAUGUUGCUACUGCCAACCAUGUUGCAACUCCUGCUGUACUCCCCAGUGCAGUGCCCAGUGCUGCAGUACCCAGUGCAAGCAGUGCUAGUGAGGCUGACCCGGCCCAAGGGAUGAUUUUGUGUUGCUGAGUGGUGACAAAAAAUUAUAUGAUGCCUUCUCAGGUGCAGCCGCCACCACCCCCAUUGCCACUCCAGGUGUGGCUAUUCCUCCCCGUGUUUCCAUACUGAUUGCAGACACUCUCCCCUGUUUCCAUCUCAUGUGUAGCCCCUCUCCCCUUUUUCCAUCUUGGAAGCAGCCACUCUCCCCUUUUUCCAUCCCAGAUGCAGGCACUCCCCCAUUUCCAUCCCAUGUGUAGCCCCUCUCCCUCUGCUUCCAUCCUGGAUGCAGCCACUCCCCCCCCCAUUUCCAUCCCAUGCAUGGCCACUCCAUCCUAUUUCCAUCCUGGAUACAGCCCCUCCUUCCUGCUUCUGUCCCAAGUGCAGCCCCUCCCCCUACUUCAAUCCCAGCUGCAGACACUUUCACUGGUACUGGGUGUGGCCACAUGCCCCUUCUGCCAUUCUUCAUUUUGUCCUCCUAGAUGUAACCAUUCCCCCAUUGCCAUCCAAGAUGUGGAUACUCACUCUCCCCCAUUUCCAUCCUGGGUACAGCCACUCCCCUUCAACUUUUUCAUCCCAAAUGUGCCAGCUCCCCCCCCGAUGCUGGGCAGCUAUUCUCCAUCUCCUGCAGCCAGUCUCUCCUGUCCUCCUCUUCUGUAACAGCUGUCCUUCCCGCUGUCACCAUUCCAAAUCUGGUUACUCCCCAUCCUGUUGGUCCCAUUGCACUACCUGCUCCCACUUCUCCAAGUCCUGCUUCUCCUUGUGCUGCAGCUCCAAACGCAGGAAUCUUCUUCAGGCAACAUGCCAGUUUCAGCAGAAGGUAACAUGGAGUGGAAGAAUUCAGAUCUGCCACCGGCCAGACCAUAAACACUGGAAUCAUAACCAACAGCUAUCUUUCCGUGGAAACAAGAAGACCUGCCAGUUCACUUCCAGGUGUCCCUUUUGCUAAGUUGGAUGCUUAAAGCUUUGCAGCUGAUUCUAUAUUAAAUUACAGAUCCUCCCUCCCUCCUCUUCAGUCACAGGAACAAAAAGACUUUAUGCGACCUAUCAGCUUCUGUUUUGUCUCAGUCUGCUAUUAGAAACACGCAACACAAUAAAAUAUUGAAACGAAGAAA